This 371-nucleotide ribosomal RNA is filed under the name uncultured organism. RNAcentral describes it as "partial 16S ribosomal RNA". It matches the Rfam family "Bacterial small subunit ribosomal RNA", at positions 527 to 896 of the family's 1533-position model. The record is from RNAcentral.
GUAGGUGGCAAGCGUUGUCCGGAAUUAUUGGGCGUAAAGCGCGCGCAGGCGGUUCUUUAAGUCUGAUGUGAAAGCCCACGGCUCAACCGUGGAGGGUCAUUGGAAACUGGAGAACUUGAGUACAGAAGAGGAAAGCGGAAUUCCACGUGUAGCGGUGAAAUGCGUAGAGAUGUGGAGGAACACCAGCGGCGAAGGCGGCUUUCUGGUCUGUAACUGACGCUGAGGCGCGAAAGCGUGGGGAGCAAACAGGAUUAGAUACCCUGGUAGUCCACGCCGUAAACGAUGAGUGCUAAGUAUUAGGGGGUUUCCGCCCCUUAGUGCUGCAGCUAACGCAUUAAGCACUCCGCCUGGGGAGUACGGCCGCAAGGCUG